AAUGAACGUUGGCGGCGUGGAUUAGGCAUGCAAGUCGUACGGGCCGCAAGGCCAGUGGCGCAAGGGUGAGUAAUGCGACGGUAACCAACCCCAUGGGUGGGUAUAGCCGCGGGAAACUGCGGGUAAUCCCCAGCGAAGCAAAGCGAUCGGCAUCGAUCGUUUGCCAAAGCUCCGGCGCCGUGGGACGGGCCGUCGUGGUAUUAGGUAGUUGGGGGGGUAACGGCCCACCAAGCCGACGAUGCCUACCGGGCGUGCGAGCGUGGCCCGGCACACUGGGACUGAGACACUGCCCAGACUCCUACGGGAGGCUGCAGUCGAGAAUCUUCGGCAAUGGGCGCAAGCCUGACCGAGCGACGCCGCGUGGAGGACGAAGGCCUUCGGGUUGUAAACUCCUGUCGAGGGGAAAGAAGGUCCGCAAGGACUUGACUGAUCCCUGGAGGAAGCACGGGCUAAGUUCGUGCCAGCAGCCGCGGUAA
RNAcentral lists this ribosomal RNA (476 nucleotides) under uncultured bacterium. RNAcentral's name for it is "partial 16S ribosomal RNA". It matches the Rfam family "Bacterial small subunit ribosomal RNA", at positions 28 to 523 of the family's 1533-position model. The record is from RNAcentral.